UANUGCAGUCGAACGAACUUCCGUUAAUUGAUUAUGACGUACUUGUACUGAUUGAGAUUUUAACACGAAGUGAGUGGCGAACGGGUGAGUAACACGUGGGUAACCUGCCCAGAAGUAGGGGAUAACACCUGGAAACAGAUGCUAAUACCGUAUAACAGAGAAAACCGCAUGGUUUUCUUUUAAAAGAUGGCUCUGCUAUCACUUCUGGAUGGACCCGCGGCGUAUUAGCUAGUUGGUGAGGUAAAGGCUCACCAAGGCAGUGAUACGUAGCCGACCUGAGAGGGUAAUCGGCCACAUUGGGACUGAGACACGGCCCAGACUCCUACGGGAGGCAGCAGUAGGGAAUCUUCCACAAUGGACGCAAGUCUGAUGGAGCAACGCCGCGUGAGUGAAGAAGGGUUUCGGCUCGUAAAGCUCUGUUGUUAAAGAAGAACGUGGGUAAGAGUAACUGUUUACCCAGUGACGGUAUUUAACCAGAAAGCCACGGCUAACUACGUGCCAGCAGCCGCGGUAAUACGUAGGUGGCAAGCGUUAUCCGGAUUUAUUGGGCGUAAAGCGAGCGCAGGCGGUCUUUUAAGUCUAAUGUGAAAGCCUUCGGCUCAACCGAAGAAGUGCAUUGGAAACUGGGAGACUUGAGUGCAGAAGAGGACAGUGGAACUCCAUGUGUAGCGGUGAAAUGCGUAGAUAUAUGGAAGAACACCAGUGGCGAAGGCGGCUGUCUGGUCUGCAACUGACGCUGAGGCUCGAAAGCAUGGGUAGCGAACAGGAUUAGAUACCCUGGUAGUCCAUGCCGUAAACGAUGAUUACUAAGUGUUGGAGGGUUUCCGCCCUUCAGUGCUGCAGCUAACGCAUUAAGUAAUCCGCCUGGGGAGUACGACCGCAAGGUUGAAACUCAAAAGAAUUGACGGGGGCCCGCACAAGCGGUGGAGCAUGUGGUUUAAUUCGAAGCUACGCGAAGAACCUUACCAGGUCUUGACAUCUUCUGACAGUCUAAAAGAUUAGAGGUUCCCUUCGGGGACNGAAUGACAGGUGGUGCAUGGUUGUCUUCACCUCCUGUCCUGAGAUGUUGGGUUAAGUCCCGCAACGAGCGCAACCCUUAUUACUAGUUGCCAGCAUUAAGUUGGGCACUCUAGUGAAACUGCCGGUGACAAACCGGAGGAAGGUNGGGAUA
RNAcentral lists this ribosomal RNA (1171 nucleotides) under Pediococcus pentosaceus. RNAcentral describes it as "bacterial SSU rRNA". It matches the Rfam family "Bacterial small subunit ribosomal RNA", at positions 52 to 1181 of the family's 1533-position model. Lineage: Bacteria; Bacillati; Bacillota; Bacilli; Lactobacillales; Lactobacillaceae. The record is from RNAcentral.